RNAcentral lists this ribosomal RNA (492 nucleotides) under uncultured bacterium. RNAcentral describes it as "partial 16S ribosomal RNA". It matches the Rfam family "Bacterial small subunit ribosomal RNA", at positions 29 to 507 of the family's 1533-position model. The record is from RNAcentral.
AGUGAACGCUGGCGGUAGGCCUAACACAUGCAAGUCGAACGGCAGCACAGUAAGAGCUUGCUCUUACGGGUGGCGAGUGGCGGACGAGUGAGGAAUACAUCGGAAUCUACUUUUUCGUGGGGGAUAACGUAGGGAAACUUACGCUAAUACCGCAUACGACCUACGGGUGAAAGCAGGGGAUCUUCGGACCUUGCGCGAUUGAAUGAGCCGAUGUCGGAUUAGCUAGUUGGCGGGGUAAAGGCCCACCAAGGCCACGAUCCGUAGCUGGUCUGAGAGGAUGAUCAGCCACACUGGAACUGAGACACGGUCCAGACUCCUACGGGAGGCAGCAGUGGGGAAUAUUGGACAAUGGGCGCAAGCCUGAUCCAGCCAUGCCGCGUGGGUGAAGAAGGCCUUCGGGUUGUAAAGCCCUUUUGUUGGGAAAGAAAAGCAGCAGGUUAAUACCCCGCUGUUCUGACGGUACUCAAAGAAUAAGCACCGGCUAACUUCGUG